This 1873-nucleotide long non-coding RNA is filed under the name Homo sapiens (human). RNAcentral's name for it is "HSALNT0405189". Lineage: Eukaryota; Metazoa; Chordata; Mammalia; Primates; Hominidae. The record is from RNAcentral.
AGGUGAAUGGAAUAGUUUUUCAUUCACCACAGUUUGUGAUUGUCUCUACAUUGUGAAGUGACAAGUUCUCUUCUCUUUUCCUUCUGCCCCUCAUCACCUUUUUCUUCCUCAUUUCUUUUUUGAAUUUUGCUGUCUUGAAUUGGUGUCUAAAGGAUGACAUAGCAGACAAGGGGACUGACACAUGAACUCUCAUGAGUUACUGAGGAGUUUCUCAGUGCUCUGUCUGCAUCAUCUGCUCGCUCUCUCCUUCCUAGGUGCUAGCCUGCCAACCUGCUUUGAGAAAUUGGAAAUGAAUUGGGGGGUAAUCAGCCUCCCCUUGUACAUGUAGGGACCGCAUCUCCAAUGCCUUGCUUUACAUAAUGACGAAUGGUGUUUUGCUUACCUACUUCCACACAAACUGCUGAUAUAGUUAGGAUUUGGGAAAGGGGAAGAAGGGAAUUUUGGGUUUUGAGGAGUAGCUGGGGCUUGAACAAAGAAGAGGUAGUAAUGAACAUUCCUGGGGUGAGGCAAUUAGUUAGCUGAGGGAGAAGAAGGCAUAUAAUAAAUUAGGGAUUGACAGACUGUCUGUAAAGGGCCAGAUAGUAAAUGUUUUAGUCAUUGAAGACCUUAAGGUCUCUGUUGCAACUAAUCAACUCCAUCAUUGUAGUGCAAAAGUAACCACAGCCACUACAGAUGUGAAUGAAUGUGACUAUGUUUCAAUAACAUUUUCUUUUUUUCUUUCUUUUUUUUUUGAGACAGUGUCACUCUGUUGCUCAGGCUGGAGGGCAGCAGCCUGAUCACAGCUUAUUGCAGCCCUGACUUCCCAGGCUCAAGUGAUCCUCCCACCUCAGCCUUCCAAGUAGCUGGGACUACAGGCACAAGCCACCACGCCCCACUAAUUUUUGUAUUUUUUGUAGAGGCGGCGUUUCACCAUGUUGGCCAGGCUGGUCUUGAACUCCUGAACUUCUGGGCUCACGCUAUCCACCCUCCUUGGCCACCGAAAGUGUUGGGAUUACAGGCAUGAGCCAGUGUCCAGCCCAAAAUAGUCUUUUGAUUUUUUUUCCCCAACCAUUUAAAAGUUCAAAACAUUCUUAGUUUUUGGGACGAAAAAAAACAAGUGAUGGGUCAGAUUUGGCCCUGGAUUGUGGUUUGUUGACCCCUGUCAUAGAGGAACAGGAAGCAGAGAGGACUGGUUAUAGGGCCUGGGAAACCAAGCCAGGGAGUUAGACUUAAGGUAGUGUGAAAGAGGAAACCAUUUUUGUAAUGUAAUGAAAAAUUUAAAGGAAGGAUAUUUUGUAUUUAUAUGUGUUCCUGGAAAAUCUCAUUUUAUUCAAAACAUAUUUUCACUAUGGAAAAUUUCAAACAUUUACAAAGUAGAGAGAAUAAUUUAAUGAAAUACCAAGUGAUGUAUUUAUCACCUACCUUCAACAAUUACCAGUCCUAGGUCCUUUGCAUUUCUAUUUUAGAAUCAGCUUGUCACAUUCUACAAAAAAGCUGGCUGGAAUUUCUGUCGGGAUUGUUUUGAGUCUGCAGAUAAUUUCAGGGGAAGAAUUGACUUCUUAAUAAAAUUGAAUCUUCCAACCCAUGACUAUGGUAUAUUUCUCAAUUUAUUUAGUUUUUCUUUAAUUUUUCUCAACAAUAUUUUGUAGUUUUCAGUGUACAAAUCUUUCCAGUUUUUUGAAGGGAUGUGGUCAGAUUUACUCCUAUUUCAUAUAUUUUGAUACUGUGAAUUUCAGCUUCCAGUUAUUCAUUGCUAAUAUAUAAAAAUACACUUGGUUUUUGUAUAUUAAUCUUGUAUCCUGAGACCUUAAUGUAAUUUGUUUUCAAAGCUUUUUUGUGGAUUCCAUUGGCUAUUCUGUCAAUGUUGUCUGUGAAUAAAGACAGUUGUACUUUU